This is a long non-coding RNA of Oncorhynchus kisutch (coho salmon), 2961 nucleotides long. NCBI's taxonomy places the organism in Eukaryota, Metazoa, Chordata, Actinopteri, Salmoniformes, Salmonidae. The record is from Ensembl.
CCCCUAUGUGCUCCUAAAAGUUUCUAGUCUGAGCAUUUUUAGCUGGUACUUUCAAAAUCACCAGGGUCUGUCAAAGUUGGGUCCUGUGAAAAAUGUACACAGCUAAAUGGAGCAUAUGCUGUCAAUACAGCAGACAGGAUCUAUUACAGUAUCUGAGUGCCCCCUAGCGUAUGUAUCGUUUCUGCCUCAAAUCAACAUUCAAUUCGGAGGAGCCUUCCGACAUGGAAACUGCCUGGGUCUCUCGUCUCUCACAGUGACCAAAGUAGCGUGCGCCCAUUUCUAACUGAUUCAUAUUUAAGAAAAUGUCUUCUUAUUGACUUGGACGUCAUCGAGUUUAUUGUAUUGUUUUAUUGUGGAUUCUACCUGACCACUCCAUUGGUGAAAGAGGAGAUUGUGGGUAAAACACAUGCCUAAAUGGCAAAGACCUGGGCAAAAUGAAAGUGACUGGUGACCUCCACUUGACAGAUCUGCUCCUGGCUUUCCUGAGUGUCAGACUGCUGAGACAUGAAGAAGACCAACCUGCUGACUCAGGAUCCACCUCAACACAGAGGUCCCCCUUUGGCCUUCAGCUCAUCAAUUCAAUUAAUAUGUUCAUUUCAAUAAAGCCAAAAUGGAAAAUUAUCCAUUUAAAAGUAAGGCACUUUCCAUUGAAACAAGGGAAACCCCACAUUUGUGUGGUUGAGCCAUGAAUCAUCAUAUGGCAUGUGUGGCGAUUGCAUUUAGAGAGUGAUCAGAGACAGUACCAAAGACUGGAAACAUCCCAUACUCGGCACUAGAUUUAAUGAGUGCCGAGUUGUAGUAUUUACAACAGUGCCAAAAAGGCUCAGCUAUGUUCAGGAAGCAUGUGAAGUGUCUGCAAUAAAAAAACAUUGUCAAACAAGAUUUGGGAACAAUUACAUAGACAGAUAGUGUAAUGUUUAUAUGAUCCCCCCAAACCAGAGCAGCUGCAGUAACCAGACCAGCAACAUAACCAUGCCCCAUGUGACUACGUCUUUCAUCUAGUUGAGAGGCCAGUAGUUUGUUAAUUUUACAUCAGUUCUCACAAUUUAUCAUGCCUACACUGUGAAACAUUUCAACAAUUGUACUUACAUUGUGGCCAAACGUCUUGAACUUCAGAUGAACAAUUGGACAUUGCUUGUUGUUGACUAGGGUAAUCACUAGCUACCAUGCAUGCAGCUUUGGCUAUUAUGUGUCAUUGCUAUUUUAGAAGUAACCACUGUAAGUUUCUCAUUGCUAGCUAUUUGAACUAACAUUAACGGUAGUUUGUGACAUCCAACCUUUAUGGGUGUGAUGUGAUAUACUAAAUACAUUGGACAUGAAUGCGUAUAAUUUUGUAUCCGGGACAAAACAUUAUUGUGACGGUAUCAGCUGUGCAUGCCGGAGAACUUUCCGCAACACAGUUGUUGGCAAAAAUGUGGGUUUUACACAUCAUAAUUAUCACCUUUAACAGUUGAAGUAGCAAAAAUCUAGGAUGAAGUUGUAUAUCUAAAUAAUUUACUGUACCAGGCAUAGGAAAGGUAAUAUAUUGCAAGUAACUAAAGGAAUGUUAAGGUAAAGCUACAAAAUAACAAUAUUUUAAACUGUCUAGCCACCCUUGAAACUCCUACACAUCUUGUUCGAAAUGGCAGCUCUAUCAAGAUAAUCAUCUGAAUGAAUCUGUUACACCACGACCUAUCAGGCUUGUAAUUAUUCAUUGAGACCCUUCAGGCUAAACCAAAGUAGUGAAUGACCAGGAAGUCACCUUAUUGUCUAUACAACUCAUCAUAUCAGGUCAUAAACUGGCUAAUGCUUCAGGUCAUAUGCUUUUCUUGUUGUAACAUUUGUUAACGUUAGCACCGAUGAGCACAUGAGUAGCAGCAGAUUGCAUAGCUUUUGUCCAAACCAUUUCCUUAUUGUGCAAGAAAUAAUCCUUUAUUCAAUUUAUGUCUGAGGAGGCUUUUUAAAACAUAUUUUCACAAGAUCAGUAGAUCAGUGUUAACUAAUACGACCACUUGGCCCUCUAUGGUCUAGAUUUUCCUUCACGUAUGAAACAUUAGCAGAGCUCACUGCUGAGAAGGGUGUGGCUGUGGCUAUAUCUCUGGGAGAAGGGCACAGCUCCUGACAGAAAGGUAAUGCUGUUGAUACUCUCAUGUCUAGGUCUCAGCGCUACCAGACCAUGGACCCCUUGCUCCCCAUUUAUCCCUCUGUCAAUUUGCAGAUCAUGUAAAAUCAAACUGAAACUGCUGUGAGAAAUGUCUCCAUAUAUUUAAUCCCUGACUGAAAUUACAAGUCAGGUUGGUUUCUCUAAUGAAAUCUUACUCUACAUAAUGAACACAGUGGAAGUCAGCAUUCUCACCAUAGGUAAACAUCCCAAUGACCUUAUUAUACAUUUUGACUUUGUCAGCUUCCUUUUUUAAUGAACUUAGUGUCAAUGACUAAUGUAAACUAAGGGCAUGAAUAGGAAUAUCAACAGUACACAAAUAGGAUUCAUUACAGGAUUUGGGUCACACUGCUCAUAGACUUAGGGCUCUAUUCAAUCCGCAUCGCAGAAGUUCAGCUUUACAGCGUGAAUGAAAUUUAAAGGCAAUGUUCCCGCCUCAGUGGAGACUGCUUUCACAGUAAACACUGCAUCAAUCAGAAAUUACCUUUACAUUUCUAUUGCGGAAUCUGUAGUGCUUCAGCCUUACAUAUUCAAUAGAGCCCUUAGGCUGUUACUUGUUCAAAAUGUACAACUCAGGUCACGCUUGAAAAAUGUCUUUAAACAAAGAGAAAUGCUGAACUUUGUCAAGCACCAUGUGUAGGCUAGAAUACCCAUUCUGACAUAGCAGUUGUAUUCUGCAAUUGCGUAAAUUAUGUUGACCUGUAGAUGAACAAAGAAAUAUGAAAAGACUUUGUACAGAAUUCCUGUGCAAUGAGUCACCUUCUCUCAUGUAAUUGUUUCCAUAUUAGACCCCACUCACCCCUUCUUGCAAGAACAUCCCU